This 285-nucleotide ribosomal RNA is filed under the name uncultured bacterium. RNAcentral's name for it is "partial 16S ribosomal RNA". It matches the Rfam family "Bacterial small subunit ribosomal RNA", at positions 28 to 314 of the family's 1533-position model. The record is from RNAcentral.
GACGAACGCUGGCGGCGUGCUUAACACAUGCAAGUCGAGCGGUAAGGCCCUUUCGGGGGUACGACGAGCGGCGAACGGGUGAGUAACACGUGGGUGACCUGCCCUCAGCUCUGGGAUAAGCCCGGGAAACUGGGUCUAAUACCGGAUAUGACCCCAUGACGCAUGUUGUGGGGUGGGAAANCCUUGUGCGGCUGAGGAUGGGCCCGCGCCUAUCAGCUUGUUGGUGGGGUGAUGGCCACCAAGGCGACGACGGGUAGCCGGCCUGAGAGGGCGACCGGCCACACU